Molecule: ribosomal RNA, 253 nt
Filed under: uncultured bacterium
Lineage: Bacteria
Description: partial 16S ribosomal RNA
Rfam family: Bacterial small subunit ribosomal RNA
Source: RNAcentral
UACGUAGGGGGCGAGCGUUGCCCGGAUUCACUGGGCGUAAAGCGCGUGUAGGCGGUCUGUUAAGUCGGAUGUGAAAUCUCCGGGCUCAACUCGGAAACUGCAUCCGAUACUGGCAGACUUGAGGAUGGUAGAGGUCGGUGGAAUACCAGGUGUACCGGUGAAAUGGACAGAUAUCUGGUGGAACACCAGUGGCGAAGGCGGCCGACUGGGCCAAUCCUGACGCUGAGACGCGAAAGCCAGGGUAGCGAACCGG